RNAcentral lists this long non-coding RNA (4719 nucleotides) under Glycine max (soybean). Its description in RNAcentral is "long non-coding RNA (GMAX_LNC002573)". Lineage: Eukaryota; Viridiplantae; Streptophyta; Magnoliopsida; Fabales; Fabaceae. The record is from RNAcentral.
GAGAAGACGUUGUGAGAGAUGUUGAGGUGCUUGAGGGAAGUGAGGGCGGCGAGCUCCUUGGGAAGUACGCCGGUGAGGUUGUUCUGCGAGACGGUGAGGUUCUCGAGUUUGUCCAAUUGUCCGAUCUCCGGCGGAAGGUGACCGAAGAGAGGAACAAACGAGACGUUGAUAGCAACGACUCGAAGUUCUCGGUCGCAUUUUACGCCUGAAAAGAAACAGUGUGCAGAAAGCGAGGGGAAAAACUUCCAGUCAUGGAGAGCGUCGUCUUUGGCUUUAUCUCCUUUCAUGGAGUCCUUCAGCUUCAGAAGCGAUUCCAUGUCAGUGAACGAAGAGCACGUUGCCACGCGCAGCCAUAUGAAGAAAAUAAACAAUAAUAGCGUGUAGCACACACAGCUUCUCAUGUCUCUCUGAUUUUGCUUUGCAGUAGUACUACUCCCUCUCUCUUAUAUACUUAUGCCAAAUGCAUACAUUUGCCUGCGUCCUUAUUUUUACACCACACACCACAUGCUGCCUCUAUUUAUAUACACCGUUAUGUUUGUAUAUUAUUAAAUUAAAUAGCUUAUAUGCAUGUACAACACUGUACCAUAUGGUGGCACGCAAUACUAAUUAAUUCUGUUUGUAUGAAAUGGGAAAAGUUGUUCAAAGUGGAUGCUUAGGAAAAAAAAAAAACAAUAUUCAUCAGUAGCUAGCCACACAAGAUCCACUAUAAGUCUGUGAAACAUGAAGUAUAAUUAUGUUUCAAGAAAAUUGUAUACAAUAUAACUUUCUAAUGCGGAUUAAUUAUAUUGAUUCUAUAGUGGUGGGAGAGGUCCUACAAGCAAUUAGUUUAGAGGAGAAAUUUUUAUGCAAGCCUUGUCUGUCACAAAUCUUUUAUUCAGUGCGUGUGUACAAAGUUAAUUAUUCUUGAUAUAUAUAUUUUUAAAUAUGACUGAAAUAUUCUUACAUUUUUAAUAAAUAAAUAUGUAUCGUAGAAAUUUGGGUCAUGCACUUUACUAAAUUGUUUGAUGAUGAUGGAACUUAAUUAUAAUACGAUUGGUUAACAUUUGGCCGGUGGCGUAUAAUUAAUGAAAUAUCCUUGCUAUUCGCCACUGGCUGUUAAGUCUACUCAACGUGGAGUUAGCUUUUGUGAAGACAAAGAUGCAAUCUCUUCGUGACCAUUCUAUGGAGGUUUAAACUUUCCAUGAGCCUAACUUUGGAACCAAACAAAAGUGGUUUUUUGUGAUUCACCAAAUUAAAAAAGGGAAUAAAAGAAACUUUUUUUUACGUGAAAGUCUUCUUAGCUACUAUGCUUUGGUAUGUCACUGGGAUAAUUAUUAUCCAUGGAAAAGCCAAAACAUCAAUUCUCUGUUUUAAGUUGUUCUGUCAACGAUCAAGCACUAGAUAUUGAAGAAUCGUAUUCCAUGAGUGACAGUUAAAGGGUACGCAUCAACAAAAAUUUAAAGCAAAUUAUUCAUCGCAAGUGGUUAUGUUCGAUCCCUACAUUACUAAGUUAAAUGUAAAUUACUAUUUGCUUAUAAAAAAAAAUGUAAAUUGCUAUUGUCGUAUUUUGAGAGGAGAAUAAAGACAAACGAGACGAUAUACGAACGAUGUAUUGUAUGGAUAUAUACAUAGAAGUUAUCAUGGGUGCAUGCAUGUAAAAUAUAUUCUCCUUUUUGCAUGUUAAAAAAGUAACAUGUUCAUCUCACAAUAUAUAUAUAUAUAUAUAUAUAUAUAUAUAUAUAUAUUUUGUCAGUUUAAGUCAAAUGAGUUCUGUAAAUUAUCUUUAUUUUCAAUUUUAACUAUAAAAUUAAUGCUCUUAAUUUUAUUAUUAAAAAUGAAAUAUAAUGAUUUGCGCCACUGAUACUACAAUAUAAAGGAGAGUGUAUAUAUUUAAGAAUUUCUAUACACUUGUGCUAAAAGAAAGUAGAGACAAGAUUUUUCUUUUUUCCUUUUUUAAAUUUAAGGCUUAAAAAGGUGUUGCAUCUUACAAGGUCAAGAUAUUCUCACACAAUGAUGCUUCAAGAAUGGGUUCAUGCCCGUGCGUUCAACAAUUCUUUCAUAUAUAGUUCUGGCCUCUGGGAAUUGGGAGCCACUGAUAAAUGGAUGAGUGGUACAUGCUUCUCAAAAGUGUUUCAUAUUGUCCUUUUGUCAACCCCAGUGAUGAUUGUGACAGUGAGUUAGUGUCCGUGAAGUGCCCAUAAAAAUCUUCUAUGAUUGGCCCUUUUCUUAACUUCGUCUUUUUUCAUGGCAGACAGUUUUUAAUUUUAUUCUCUAAGUCUAAAUAAAUUCUAUAUUUCAUUAUUAUUUGACAAGAUGAUACAUAUAUAUAUAUAGGGGACUACAAUUAUAAUCUAAUUAAGCUAAUAAGGAGUGAUUGAAUCCAACACAUUUAUCUUGUGAAGAUACAAUUUUUUUUUUCAUAAUAAAAAAUUUAGGUGAGUUGAAUUGACCUAAGGACUCAUAAGGCUAAAGAUUAUUUAUAUAGAUAUUUAUAAAUUAUUGAUCAAUAAAAUUCUCACCUUAACAAAAAAAAUCAAAUUCAUAUUCUUAUAGGAUAUGAGUUGGUUUUUCACUAACUAGAUCAACUUUUUUUUACUAGUGAAAAUAAAAUUUAUAUAUAUCUUUUCUUUUAGAUAUAUCUUACAUGAAAAUUAAUUUUAUUGGAGUUGAAUGAAAUUAUCAUUAAUAUUAGGUAAUAAUCUCAAGUAAAAUAUUUCUUUUGAAUAUUUAAUUCAUGUUUAGACUAUUUUAAAAAAGGGUAUUUAGUUUAGUGAUACAUUAAAUUAAAAGUGGUCAAUCAGAUUUUUUUUUAUCCAAAUUAGUUAUGGGUCAAAUUAUUAGAUACUCUCAUCAAUGUCAUAAUAAUAAAAAAAAGAUUAUUUUAUUUUAUAUAAAUAAUUGUAUUUUUUUUAUUUACAUAGAUUUUUCAAAAACCAUUGAAAUAUACUCAACCUAUAAACAACUUGCAUAUUGUUUUAAAUAAAUUCAAAUAAUUUUUUACAAAUAUUUUUAAUCAUUUUUACCCAUUCACAUAUUUUUCCUUUUAGUUCGAUGUUGACAUGGUGGAAACACCUAUGAAAUGUGGAUCGUGAUUUAUCCCGGCAGUUGACUACUAUAGACCACUAAUGGCGUAUCCCGAACGCUCUGUGAUUAGACUAAUUAACAUGCAUGGUUCUUAUUGUCAAAAUUUAAAACCAUGUUGCAACUUACUUGCAUUACACAUCUUACCUUGUAGGAGAUGUAUGAACUGUUAAAGUAAAAAAAAGUAAUGAUAAAUAAACAUUUCAUUAUUUUAAAUAAUUCAUCUAUUUCUCAUUUUUAUUUAUCAUAUUGAUAUUUUUUAUUGUCUUCUAUGUGUUGUGUUGUAUAGGAGUUUUAGAUGUUUGUAUAUCAUUACUAAAAAAAUGUACUAAUGAUUGUUAGUUCAAGUAGCAAGUAUUUUGUUUCUUUUAAAGUGAAAUUUUAGAUUUUAGGUCUUGUGAAAAAAUGAACACAUAAGGAUUUGUUCUCUUAACUAGACCAUUUAACAUUUUGGUUAAAAAAAAGUUAGAUAAAUUAGAUUUCAGGAAUUCAUUGUUGGAAUCAAGAUAAACCUCGAAACUUAUUAAACAUUUACAAAUACUUAAAGACUCAUUUAACUUUCACACACACAUAAUACUACUAGCAAGUAUAUUUUGUAUAGCCCAGGUAUUUUUAUAAUGCUAAAAUAGCAUAUGUAUUAAAGAUUCAAAUAAAAUAAGUAAAAAAAAUAAAUUAAAAAUAUUGUAGUGGCAUUUCCUCCUUUUAUUUUUAUCGGUCUUUUAAAGUUUCAAGAAAUGUGAUAAGUUUUUCUUAUUAUUGUUUAGAGUAGGUGGAAUCUCGCCGAUGAGGUCAAGGUAUCUCAGAUUUUAUGCUGCCAAACUCCGGUGGAAUUUCACCUUCGUAAGCGUUGUUGUAUCCGAGUUUGAGAUACCUCAGCGUCUUCAACUUAGACAAACUCUUCGGAAUCUUCCCCGAUAAGUUAUUGGUGCUUAAGCUUAAAAACUCCAAGCUCUUAAACUCCGAGUAAAUCUCCGGUAUGCUGCCGGAAGUUGUUGUCGUAGACGUCGAGGACCUCCAGUUUCGUCAUCGGAAGAAUAAUUUGGCCGGAGAAGACGUUGUGAGAGAUGUCGAGGAGCUUGAGGGAAGUGAGGUUCUCGAGUUUGUCCAAUUGUCCGAUCUCCGGCGGAAGGUAGCCGAAAAGAGGAACAAACGAGACAUUGAUAGCAACGACUCGAAGUUCUUGGUCGCAGUUUACGCCUGAAAAGAAACAGUGUGCAGAAAGCGACGUGGAAAACUUCCAGUCAUGGAGUCCUUCAGCUUCAGCAGCGCAUCCAUGUCAGUGAACGAAGAGCACGUUGCCACGCGCAGCCAUAUGAAGAAAACAAAUUAACAACUUCUUAUCAUGUCUCUCUAGUCUCUGAUCUUGCUUCGCAGUAGUCGCUAUUAUACCUUUGCUGCGUCCUUAUAUGUUGACACCACACACCUCAUGCACUCUCUAUUUAUAUAUACACCUUUAUAUUAUAGUAGCAAAUUAAAUUGAAUAUCAUAUAUGCAUGUACAUCACUUGCACCAUGGUAGCAUGCAAUACUAGCUACACGAACUUGGAGUUAGACUUUUGUGAAAACAAAGAUGCAAUCUCUUCGUGACCAGUUAAGUAGGUUUAAGCUUUCCAUGAGCCUAACCUUGGAAUGAAACAAAAGUGGUUUUAAGUGAUUCACC